GGUUAAGCGAACAAGCGUACACGGUGGAUGCCCUGGCAGUCAGAGGCGAUGAAGGACGUGCUAAUCUGCGAAAAGCGCCGGUAAGGUGAUAUGAACCGUUAUAACCGGCGAUGUCCGAAUGGGGAAACCCGGUGCACUUCGGUGCAUCAUCGUUAGCUGAAUACAUAGGCUAACGAAGCGAACCGGGGGAACUGAAACAUCUAAGUACCCCGAGGAAAAGAAAUCAACCGAGAUUCCCCCAGUAGCGGCGAGCGAACGGGGAACAGCCCAGAGCCUGAAUCAGCUUGUGUGUCAGUGGAACGGUCUGGAAAGGCCGGCGAUACAGGGUGACAGCCCCGUACACGAAGGCACACAGGCUGUGAGCUCGAUGAGUAGGGCGGGACACGUGAUAUCCUGUCUGAAGAUGGGGGGACCAUCCUCCAAGGCUAAAUACUCCUGACUGACCGAUAGUGAACCAGUACCGUGAGGGAAAGGCGAAAAGAACCCCGGCGAGGGGAGUGAAACAGAACCUGAAACCGUGUACGUACAAGCAGUGGGAGCCUUCGUAAGAGGGUGACUGCGUACCUUUUGUAUAAUGGGUCAGCGACUUAUAUUCUGUAGCAAGGUUAACCGUAUAGGGGAGCCGAAGGGAAACCGAGUCUUAACCGGGCGUUAAGUUGCAGGGUAUAGACCCGAAACCCGGUGAUCUAGCCAUGGGCAGGUUGAAGGUUGGGUAACACUAACUGGAGGACCGAACCGACUAAUGUUGAAAAAUUAGCGGAUGACCUGUGGCUGGGGGUGAAAGGCCAAUCAAACCGGGAGAUAGCUGGUUCUCCCCGAAAGCUAUUUAGGUAGCGCCUCGUGAAUUCAUCUCCGGGGGUAGAGCACUGUUUCGGCUAGGGGGCCAUCCCGGCUUACCAACCCGAUGCAAACUGCGAAUACCGGAGAAUGUUAUCACGGGAGACACACGGCGGGUGCUAACGUCCGUCGUGAAGAGGGAAACAACCCAGACCGCCAGCUAAGGUCCCAAAGUCAUGGUUAAGUGGGAAACGAUGUGGGAAGGCCCAGACAGCCAGGAUGUUGGCUUAGAAGCAGCCAUCAUUUAAAGAAAGCGUAAUAGCUCACUGGUCGAGUCGGCCUGCGCGGAAGAUGUAACGGGGCUAAACCAUGCACCGAAGCUGCGGCAGCGACACUAUGUGUUGUUGGGUAGGGGAGCGUUCUGUAAGCCUGCGAAGGUGUGCUGUGAGGCAUGCUGGAGGUAUCAGAAGUGCGAAUGCUGACAUAAGUAACGAUAAAGCGGGUGAAAAGCCCGCUCGCCGGAAGACCAAGGGUUCCUGUCCAACGUUAAUCGGGGCAGGGUGAGUCGACCCCUAAGGCGAGGCCGAAAGGCGUAGUCGAUGGGAAACAGGUUAAUAUUCCUGUACUUGGUGUUACUGCGAAGGGGGGACGGAGAAGGCUAUGUCAGCCGGGCGACGGUCGUCCCGGUUUAAGCGUGUAGGCUGACUUUCCAGGCAAAUCCGGAAGGUUAAGGCUGAGGCGUGAUGACGAGGCACCACGGUGCUGAAGUGACAAAUGCCCUGCUUCCAGGAAAAGCCUCUAAGCAUCAGGUAACAUCAAAUCGUACCCCAAACCGACACAGGUGGUCAGGUAGAGAAUACCAAGGCGCUUGAGAGAACUCGGGUGAAGGAACUAGGCAAAAUGGUGCCGUAACUUCGGGAGAAGGCACGCUGACAUGUAGGUGAAGCCCCUGCGGGUGGAGCUGAAGUCAGUCGAAGAUACCAGCUGGCUGCAACUGUUUAUUAAAAACACAGCACUGUGCAAACACGAAAGUGGACGUAUACGGUGUGACGCCUGCCCGGUGCCGGAAGGUUAAUUGAUGGGGUUAUCGCAAGAGAAGCUCCUGAUCGAAGCCCCGGUAAACGGCGGCCGUAACUAUAACGGUCCUAAGGUAGCGAAAUUCCUUGUCGGGUAAGUUCCGACCUGCACGAAUGGCGUAAUGAUGGCCAGGCUGUCUCCACCCGAGACUCAGUGAAAUUGAACUCGCUGUGAAGAUGCAGUGUACCCGCGGCAAGACGGAAAGACCCCGUGAACCUUUACUACAGCUUGACACUGAACAUUGAGCCUUGAUGUGUAGGAUAGGUGGGAGGCUUUGAAGCGUGGACGCCAGUCUGCGUGGAGCCAACCUUGAAAUACCACCCUUUAAUGUUUGAUGUUCUAACCUGGCGCCGUGAUCCGGCGUGGGGACAGUGUCUGGUGGGUAGUUUGACUGGGGCGGUCUCCUCCCAAAGUGUAACGGAGGAGCACGAAGGUCAGCUAAUCCUGGUCGGACAUCAGGAGGUUAGUGCAAUGGCAUAAGCUGGCUUGACUGCGAGAGUGACGGCUCGAGCAGGUGCGAAAGCAGGUCAUAGUGAUCCGGUGGUUCUGUAUGGAAGGGCCAUCGCUCAACGGAUAAAAGGUACUCCGGGGAUAACAGGCUGAUACCGCCCAAGAGUUCAUAUCGACGGCGGUGUUUGGCACCUCGAUGUCGGCUCAUCACAUCCUGGGGCUGAAGUAGGUCCCAAGGGUAUGGCUGUUCGCCAUUUAAAGUGGUACGCGAGCUGGGUUUAGAACGUCGUGAGACAGUUCGGUCCCUAUCUGCCGUGGGCGCUGGAGAAUUGAGGGGGGCUGCUCCCAGUACGAGAGGACCGGAGUGGACGCAUCACUGGUGUUCGGGUUGUCAUGCCAAUGGCACUGCCCGGUAGCUAAAUGCGGAAGAGAUAAGUGCUGAAAGCAUCUAAGCACGAAACUUGCCCCGAGAUGAGUUCUCCCUGAGACUGUAAGUCUCCUGAAGGAACGUUGAAGACGACGACGUUGAUAGGCCGGGUGUGUAAGCGCAGCGAUGCGUUGAGCUAACCGGUACUAAUGAACCGUGAGGCUUAACCUU
Molecule: ribosomal RNA, 2902 nt
Filed under: Cronobacter malonaticus
Lineage: Bacteria; Pseudomonadati; Pseudomonadota; Gammaproteobacteria; Enterobacterales; Enterobacteriaceae
Description: 23S ribosomal RNA
Rfam family: Bacterial large subunit ribosomal RNA
Source: RNAcentral